GGCUUCGGUCCUGCUUAUACUCGAAAAUUUAGGCGAAGAUAAGCAUGUAGAAAGCGUAUGGCUUCCUCGUUUGGACGAGGGUUCGACUCCCUCCAGCUCCACAA
This 104-nucleotide transfer-messenger RNA is filed under the name Phocaeicola sp. RNAcentral's name for it is "partial transfer-messenger RNA". It matches the Rfam family "transfer-messenger RNA", at positions 269 to 374 of the family's 374-position model. Rfam says of the family: Bacterial tmRNA, also known as 10Sa RNA or SsrA, is named for its dual tRNA and mRNA-like properties. Its role is to liberate the mRNA from a stalled ribosome. The record is from RNAcentral. Lineage: Bacteria; Pseudomonadati; Bacteroidota; Bacteroidia; Bacteroidales; Bacteroidaceae.